GACGAACGCUGGCGGCGUGCUUAACACAUGCAAGUCGAGCGGUAAGGCCCUUUCGGGGGUACACGAGCGGCGAACGGGUGAGUAACACGUGGGUGACCUGCCCUCAGCUCUGGGAUAAGCCUGGGAAACUGGGUCUAAUACUGGAUAUGACUCCACGGUGCAUGUCGUGGGGUGGAAAGCCUUGUGCGGCUGAGGAUGGGCCCGCGGCCUAUCAGCUUGUUGGUGGGGUGAUGGCCUACCAAGGCGACGACGGGUAGCCGGCCUGAGAGGGCGACCGGCCACACUGGGACUGAGACACGGCCCAGACUCCUACGGGAGGCAGCAGUGGGGAAUCUUGCGCAAUGGGCGAAAGCCUGACGCAGCGACGCCGCGUGAGGGAUGACGGCCUCGGUGUAACUACUUCUA
This 405-nucleotide ribosomal RNA is filed under the name uncultured bacterium. RNAcentral's name for it is "bacterial SSU rRNA". It matches the Rfam family "Bacterial small subunit ribosomal RNA", at positions 28 to 435 of the family's 1533-position model. The record is from RNAcentral.